This 1685-nucleotide ribosomal RNA is filed under the name Eurypogon japonicus. RNAcentral describes it as "SSU rRNA". It matches the Rfam family "Eukaryotic small subunit ribosomal RNA", at positions 77 to 1665 of the family's 1831-position model. The record is from RNAcentral. Lineage: Eukaryota; Metazoa; Arthropoda; Insecta; Coleoptera; Artematopodidae.
UAAGGUGAAACCGCGAAAGGCUCAUUAAAUCAGUUAUGGUUCCUUAGAUCGUACCCACAUUUACUUGGAUAACUGUGGUAAUUCUAGAGCUAAUACAUGCAAACAGAGCUCCGACCGGAGACGGAAGGAGCGCUUUUAUUAGAUCAAAACCAAUCGGCGGCGUGUUAACGCGCGUCGUCGUACAAGUUGGUGAUUCUGAAUAACUUUUUGCUGAUCGCACGGUCUCGCACCGGCGACGCAUCUUUCAAAUGUCUGCCUUAUCAACUGUCGAUGGUAGGUUCUGCGCCUACCAUGGUUGUAACGGGUAACGGGGAAUCAGGGUUCGAUUCCGGAGAGGGAGCCUGAGAAACGGCUACCACAUCCAAGGAAGGCAGCAGGCGCGCAAAUUACCCACUCCCGGCACGGGGAGGUAGUGACGAAAAAUAACGAUACGGGACUCAUCCGAGGCCCCGUAAUCGGAAUGAGUACACUCUAAACCCUUUAACGAGGAUCAAUUGGAGGGCAAGUCUGGUGCCAGCAGCCGCGGUAAUUCCAGCUCCAAUAGCGUAUAUUAAAGUUGUUGCGGUUAAAAAGCUCGUAGUCGAAUUUGUGUCCCGCGCCGCCGGUUCAUCGCUCGCGGUGUUUAACUGGCGUGUCCGCGGGACGUCCUGCCGGUGGGCUUAGCUCGCAAGGGCGGCCCAACUUCGAAUCCCGUCGCGGUGCUCUUCACUGAGUGUCGAGGCGGGCCGGCACGUUUACUUUGAACAAAUUAGAGUGCUUAAAGCAGGCUAAACUUCGCCUGAAUAUUCUGUGCAUGGAAUAAUGGAAUAGGACCUCGGUUCUAUUUUGUUGGUUUUCGGAACCCCGAGGUAAUGAUUAAUAGGAACGGAUGGGGGCAUUCGUAUUGCGACGCUAGAGGUGAAAUUCUUGGAUCGUCGCAAGACGGACAGAAGCGAAAGCAUUUGCCAAAAACGCUUUCAUUGAUCAAGAACGAAAGUUAGAGGUUCGAAGGCGAUCAGAUACCGCCCUAGUUCUAACCAUAAACGAUGCCAGCUAGCGAUCCGCCGACGUUCCUCCGAUGACUCGGCGGGCAGCUUCCGGGAAACCAAAGCUUUUGGGUUCCGGGGGAAGUAUGGUUGCAAAGCUGAAACUUAAAGGAAUUGACGGAAGGGCACCACCAGGAGUGGAGCCUGCGGCUUAAUUUGACUCAACACGGGAAACCUCACCAGGCCCGGACACCGGAAGGAUUGACAGAUUGAGAGCUCUUUCUUGAUUCGGUGGGUGGUGGUGCAUGGCCGUUCUUAGUUGGUGGAGCGAUUUGUCUGGUUAAUUCCGAUAACGAACGAGACUCUAGCCUGCUAAAUAGGCGUAUUUCCGACAUCUCAAAGGCCCGCCGGCCCGGCGCUCGCGUCGCGGCCGCGCGCGGUUUUUACUGUCGGCGUACAUAUAAUUCUUCUUAGAGGGACAGGCGGCUUCUAGCCGCACGAGAUUGAGCAAUAACAGGUCUGUGAUGCCCUUAGAUGUUCUGGGCCGCACGCGCGCUACACUGAAGGAAUCAGCGUGUCCUCCCUGGCCGAGAGGCCCGGGUAACCCGCUGAACCUCCUUCGUGCUAGGGAUUGGGGCUUGCAAUUGUUCCCCAUGAACGAGGAAUUCCCAGUAAGCGCGAGUCAUAAGCUCGCGUUGAUUACGUCCCUGCCCUUUGUAC